AACGAACGCUGGCGGCGUGCCUAACACAUGCAAGUCGUGCGAGAAAGUUCCUUCGGGAGCGAGUAAAGCGGCGCACGGGUGAGUAACACGUAGGUAACCUGCCCCCCAGUCUGGAACAACUAGAGGAAACUCUAGCUAAUGCCGGAUGAGACCACGAUCCCUUCGGGGGUUGCGGCCAAAGAUGGCCUCUACUUGUAAGCUAUCGCUGAGGGAUGGGCCUGCGGGCCAUUAGCUUGUUGGUGAGGUAACGGCUCACCAAGGCUGUGAUGGCUAGCUGGUCUGAGAGGAUGAUCAGCCACACUGGGACUGAGACACGGCCCAGACUCCUACGGGAGGCAGCAGUGGGGAAUAUUGCGCAAUGGGCGAAAGCCUGACGCAGCGACGCCGCGUGGGUGAUGAA
This 400-nucleotide ribosomal RNA is filed under the name uncultured bacterium. RNAcentral's name for it is "bacterial SSU rRNA". It matches the Rfam family "Bacterial small subunit ribosomal RNA", at positions 29 to 412 of the family's 1533-position model. The record is from RNAcentral.